GCCUUCUUAGUGUAGUGGUUAGCACGCUGGACGCGUAUUCCAGAGGCCUCUGGUUCAAAUCCCGGAGAAGGGU
RNAcentral lists this transfer RNA (73 nucleotides) under Stegodyphus mimosarum. It matches the Rfam family "tRNA". Rfam says of the family: Transfer RNA (tRNA) molecules are approximately 80 nucleotides in length. Their secondary structure includes four short double-helical elements and three loops (D, anti-codon, and T loops). The record is from Rfam by way of RNAcentral. Lineage: Eukaryota; Metazoa; Arthropoda; Arachnida; Araneae; Eresidae.